GGAACUAGGUGGGUACAGCCAACAGGAGGAUACAACACAAAUAAAUGAUAAGGGGCAGGGGAAUCAGGAAGAUACCAAAGUGGCAGAACUGAUUACGCGACUAAAAAAUGAGGAACAUCUCAAAAGAGAAAAAAGUCUGAGUGAAAUUGAAAACUUGAGGCAGGAGCGGGCCGAGGAAGAGAGAAAACUGUGGCGAGUCAGUGUGGAGAGACAGGGCCUACACAACGAACUAUGGAGACUGAAGAGAAAACUAUUUGUUAUUGCCAGAGAGUGUGCCCAGAGCCAUGCGGCGCAAGGUGCCCAACAACGACAAGUAGAGCAACUUAAGAAAGAAGGGGUAAGAAAAUCACUUUAUAAAUACAUACAGUGAGUCAUGAUUAGUUUUCAUAUUAUUGUUUUAGGAGGAACUACAGACUGCAGAGGUCCAGCUGAGAGAGGACCGUGAAAAACUUCAACAAGAACAUGAACAGCAGCGUGUAAGCCUUCAAGAACAGCUUAAUGUUACCACUUCCAGUAUUUUGAAAAGCACUCAAGAAGAGCUGAACCAGUGCAGACGUCACUCAUGCGGCGAUGUGCAACAAUACCUGCAGGAUAGUCUCAAAGCACUGGAAGAAAGGUCAGUGUAAUGCACCACUUAUUUUGAGUUACCAGCAUUCAUACAUUGACUGUAGGAAAAAGAAGCAUAUCAUACAGUAUUGACAAGAUGUUCAUUAAUUUGGACAGGUAUGGACCUAUUCUGGAUGCACUUUUGAAGAGGAAUGACACAGCAGUGGAUGCUUGUGCAAAAGUAAAAGAGCAGACCCAGGAACUGAGAGUUCAGCUGACACCUUUAAGGGAGGAGAUACAAAAACUCACGCACCAGAAAGUUUGUUUGGAUGAAAAACUUAAGCUAAUCAGUUUCCAAAGAAAAGAGAAGAUGGGGCAAUACAAGGAGAUAGUAGACUCCUUGGAAGAAAGCUGUAGAGAACUAAAGACGGAGCUGUGGAUUCAUAAGACGAAAACCAAUGAGAUGAAGGAACUAAAGGAAAUUCUCACUAAAAAGUUGACAACAUACAGGUCAGCUAUUGAAAACCACAUCGACUGUGACAAGGAAACAACAUAAAUGUCUUCUUCUCUUGGAGUGAUUGUAAUAUUUGAUUAACUCCAUUAUAUCAAUUGUGUAACUUUAAAUGCACUUUAUAGAGGUUUGUUUGAAAUAUUUUUUAUUCAUGUGACAUGAGAGCUUUUUCAAAUAAAUAUGUAGACUCAUACAGUACAAGCAACAGGUAUCUCUAUGUGGUGAAUAGUACAGAUUAUAUUAUUAAUGUGAUUAAAGAGUAAUAUUAGGCCUGAUGUAAUUGCAGUAAAUAUAAUUUUGAAAACCUGGCUUUAGGUGUCUGGAUACUUAGAUAUUAAAUAGUGAACUAUAGUAGUUUUGUAUUUAACCAGAGGUGGGUAGAGUAGCCAAAAUAUUCACUCAAGUAAGAGUAUCGUUACUUUGAAAUAAAAGUAAAAGUAAAAAAGAACAAGGAGAAAAUGUUACUUGAGUAGUGAGUAACUGAGCUAAAAAAAAAAAAAGUCAUGCUAUAAAUUGUGUGAAACAAAACAGAAAAACAAAAUAAUUCUAAAGAAAAAGGUGCACGAGACGAUGUAAAAAUAAAGCAUUUCCCUCUUAAAUAUUUACCCACAGUGGGUAAAUAUUUUCUUUAAGUAAUAAUUAUCUUUAGUCAAGUAUAAGAGUACAGAUUAAAAUUUUACUCAAGUAGAAGUAAAAAGUACCGUGCGAUAACACUCACGUAUGUCGCUACUUGAGUAGGCUAAAUGUAACGGAGUACCCGCCUCUGUAUUUAACCAUGUAAUAUUAUGCUAUAAUUAGUAACAGUUCAACAUAGAAAAGGAGGAUAUGAGUAUUUUACCCAAUGUGUCUUCUUUUCUUGACGAUCACUCAGGAGCCGCAUGCUUUUUUCGGACCUCAUCUGCAAAAGAUAAAAUAAUGCUGAAAGUUUUUUCCUGUGCUUUAAGGUCUUUUGAAAUAUAACCUGUCCAGGCUUGAAAAACAGCUUAGUGUGCCCUGACAGUUUCCUCCAUAAAUGUUGGCUAAAUUCAUCCACGGUUUGCAUUUCUCGCUGAAAUAACGACAACACACGCGCUAUGGUUUCCAUUGGACCGCUGUCACUGCACGCCUGAGUAAAUCAAAAUCUGAUUGGGUUCUUUCAGCAAGCUAACUUCCUAUUGGCUAGCCCGGACGAGGCGCUAAAGUUGUGCAUGCAGCUGCAGCAU
RNAcentral lists this long non-coding RNA (2259 nucleotides) under Neogobius melanostomus (round goby). Its description in RNAcentral is "lncRNA (ENSNMLG00000005089.1)". Lineage: Eukaryota; Metazoa; Chordata; Actinopteri; Gobiiformes; Gobiidae. The record is from RNAcentral.